UUGUUUGAUAUUUCUAUAAGUAUAAAAAAGAAGAUGUGGUAUGAUUGCCAAUGAGACAACUAUCCACAAAAGACUAAAAUGACACAGACAUUAACAACUAUAGGUCACCGUAAGGCCUUCAACAAUGAGCAAAGCCCAUACCGCAUAGUCAGCUAUAAAAGGCCCCGAUAAGACAAUGUAAAACAAUUCAAACGAGAAAACUAACGGCCUUAUUAAUGUAAAAAAAUGAACGAACAACAAAUAUGUAACACAUAAACAACGACAACCACUGAAUUACAGGCUCCUGACUUGGGACAGGCACAUACAUAAAUAAUGUGGCGGGGUUAAACAUGUUAGCGGGGUCCCAACCCUCCCCUAACCUGGGACAG
RNAcentral lists this long non-coding RNA (368 nucleotides) under Mytilus galloprovincialis (Mediterranean mussel). The record is from RNAcentral. Lineage: Eukaryota; Metazoa; Mollusca; Bivalvia; Mytilida; Mytilidae.